GGGGGUAGGGGCUGCUCCUGAUUAGCGGCGGACGGGUGAGUAAUGCCUAGGAAUCUGCCUAUUAGUGGGGGACAACGUUUCGAAAGGAACGCUAAUACCGCAUACGUCCUACGGGAGAAAGCAGGGGACCUUCGGGCCUUGCGCUAAUAGAUGAGCCUAGGUCGGAUUAGCUAGUUGGUGGGGUAAAGGCUCACCAAGGCGACGAUCCGUAACUGGUCUGAGAGGAUGAUCAGUCACACUGGAACUGAGACACGGUCCAGACUCCUACGGGAGGCAGCAGUGGGGAAUAUUGGACAAUGGGCGAAAGCCUGAUCCAGCCAUGCCGCGUGUGUGAAGAAGGUCUUCGGAUUGUAAAGCACUUUAAGUUGGGAGGAAGGGUUGUAGAUUAAUACUCUGCAAUUUUGACGUUACCGACAGAAUAAGCACCGGCUAACUCUGUGCCAGCAGCCGCGGUAAUACAGAGGGUGCAAGCGUUAAUCGGAAUUACUGGGCGUAAAGCGCGCGUAGGUGGUUUGUUAAGUUGGAUGUGAAAGCCCCGGGCUCAACCUGGGAACUGCAUCCAAAACUGGCAAGCUAGAGUACGGUAGAGGGUGGUGGAAUUUCCUGUGUAGCGGUGAAAUGCGUAGAUAUAGGAAGGAACACCAGUGGCGAAGGCGACCACCUGGACUGAUACUGACACUGAGGUGCGAAAGCGUGGGGAGCAAACAGGAUUAGAUACCCUGGUAGUCCACGCCGUAAACGAUGUCAACUAGCCGUUGGAAUCCUUGAGAUUUUAGUGGCGCAGCUAACGCAUUAAGUUGACCGCCUGGGGAGUACGGCCGCAAGGUUAAAACUCAAAUGAAUUGACGGGGGCCCGCACAAGCGGUGGAGCAUGUGGUUUAAUUCGAAGCAACGCAAAGAACCUUACCUGGCCUUGACAUGCUGAGAACUUUCCAGAGAUGGAUUGGUGCCUUCGGGAACUCAGACACAGGUGCUCCAUGCCUGUCGUCAGCUCGUGUCCUGGAGAUGUUGGGGUUAAGUCCC
Molecule: ribosomal RNA, 1023 nt
Filed under: Phytopseudomonas argentinensis
Lineage: Bacteria; Pseudomonadati; Pseudomonadota; Gammaproteobacteria; Pseudomonadales; Pseudomonadaceae
Description: bacterial SSU rRNA
Rfam family: Bacterial small subunit ribosomal RNA
Source: RNAcentral